CCUAGGGGUGGCAGCAGUGGGGAAUAUUGGACAAUGGGCGAAAGCCUGAUCCAGCCAUGCCGCGUGUGUGAAGAAGGCCUUCGGGUUGUAAAGCACUUUCAGUGGGGAAGAAAGCCUUGGGGCUAAUACCCUCGAGGAAGGACAUCACCCACAGAAGAAGCACCGGCUAACUCCGUGCCAGCAGCCGCGGUAAUACGGAGGGUGCGAGCGUUAAUCGGAAUUACUGGGCGUAAAGCGCGCGUAGGCGGUCUGAUAAGCCGGUUGUGAAAGCCCCGGGCUCAACCUGGGAACGGCAUCCGGAACUGUCAGGCUAGAGUGCAGGAGAGGAAGGUAGAAUUCCCGGUGUAGCGGUGAAAUGCGUAGAGAUCGGGAGGAAUACCAGUGGCGAAGGCGGCCUUCUGGACUGACACUGACGCUGAGGUGCGAAAGCGUGGGUAGCAAACAGGAUUAGAUACCCCAGUAGUC
Molecule: ribosomal RNA, 465 nt
Filed under: Vreelandella stevensii
Lineage: Bacteria; Pseudomonadati; Pseudomonadota; Gammaproteobacteria; Oceanospirillales; Halomonadaceae
Description: partial 16S ribosomal RNA
Rfam family: Bacterial small subunit ribosomal RNA
Source: RNAcentral